CCGGGCUGGGCUACACUCGGGCCUCGUACUUUCGAAACUGGACCACGUAUGUUUCCGUACGUAAUAUUGCGUUUCGCAUAUUGCUCGCAUAUAUUUCUCCGUUGUUUAAAAAUAAUCUCACUAUUAGGCCCCGUUUGGAUACCUCUAAAAACGUAGCAUAGUUAAACUAUGCUACGGUGGUAGGAAAAUAAUCCUAUGAAGCGUUUGGAAGAAAAAAAAAAUGACGUAAUUUUUGGAAUAUAGUUAUACUAUACUACAAAAAAUGUAGUAAACUUACAAUACCCUUUAACCAAAGGAAAAAAUUCUACCAUUUCGGGCUCCCAAAGAUGUAUCAAUUUUUAAAUUUUAAAUUUCAACAUAAAAUUUUAGAUUUCAAAUUUUAAAAUUUUAAAAUUCAAAUUUAAUUUUGAUUUUAAAUUUCAAAUUUUAAAUUUCAAAUUUCAAAUUUCAAAAACUUCAAAUUUUAAAUUUUAAAUUUCAAAUUUCAAAAACUUCAAAUUUCAAAUUUCAAAUUUCAAAUUUCAAAUUUCAAAUUUCAAAAGUUCAAAUUUCAAAUUUCAAAUUUCAAAUUUCAAAUUUCAAAUUUCAAAUUUCAAAUUUUAAAUUUCAACUUUCAAAUUUCA
Molecule: long non-coding RNA, 623 nt
Filed under: Ananas comosus (pineapple)
Lineage: Eukaryota; Viridiplantae; Streptophyta; Magnoliopsida; Poales; Bromeliaceae
Description: long non-coding RNA (ACOM_LNC001294)
Source: RNAcentral